Molecule: ribosomal RNA, 469 nt
Filed under: uncultured bacterium
Lineage: Bacteria
Description: partial 16S ribosomal RNA
Rfam family: Bacterial small subunit ribosomal RNA
Source: RNAcentral
GACGAACGCUGGCGGCGUGCUUAACACAUGCAAGUCGAACGGAAAGGCCCUGCUUGCAGGGUGCUCGAGUGGCGAACGGGUGAGUAACACGUGGGUGAUCUGCCCCUUACUUUGGGAUAAGCCUGGGAAACUGGGUCUAAUACUGGAUAGGACCAUGCUGUAGGUGGUGUGGUGGAAAGAUUAGUUUCGGUAAGGGAUGAGCUCGCGGCCUAUCAGCUUGUUGGUGGGGUAAUGGCCUACCAAGGCGUCGACGGGUAGCCGGCCUGAGUGGGUGGACGGCAACAUUGGGACUGAGAUACGGCCCAGCCUCCUACGGGAGGCAGCAGUGGGGAAUAUUGUACAAUGGGCGCAAGCCUGAUGCAGCGACGCCGCGUGGGGGAUGACGGCCUUCGGGUUGUAAACUCCUUUCAGCCAUGACGAAGCCCUUGUGGUGACGGUAGUGGUAGAAGAAGCACCGGCUAACUACGUG